GACGGAGGGCGCAAGCGUUGUUCGGAAUUACUGGGCGUAAAGGGCGGGCAGGCGGUCUGUUAAGUCUCUUGUGAAAAUCCGGGGCUCAACUCCGGAAAUGCAGGAGAAACUGGCAGGCUAGAGACCGGUAGAGGCUAGCGGAAUUCCUGGUGUAGCGGUGGAAUGCGUAGAUAUCAGGAAGAACACCUGUGGCGAAGGCGGCUAGCUGGGCCGGAUCUGACGCUCAUCCGCGAAAGCGUGGGGAGCAAACAGG
This 253-nucleotide unclassified non-coding RNA is filed under the name uncultured Gemmatimonadota bacterium. RNAcentral's name for it is "uncultured Gemmatimonadetes bacterium contains 16S-23S intergenic spacer region". It matches the Rfam family "Bacterial small subunit ribosomal RNA", at positions 524 to 776 of the family's 1533-position model. The record is from RNAcentral. Lineage: Bacteria; Pseudomonadati; Gemmatimonadota.